GGCAGGUCUCAGGUGACAUACCCCUGAAUUGGGCUCUAUCCGCUCUGGUUCUAGGUGUGUCACCUGAGAACCGCA
Myotis lucifugus (little brown bat) is the source of this 75-nucleotide non-coding RNA. NCBI's taxonomy places the organism in Eukaryota, Metazoa, Chordata, Mammalia, Chiroptera, Vespertilionidae. The record is from Rfam.